GGCGAGUGAAGCGGCAACAGCUCAAAUUUGAAAUCUGGCCUGAAGCCCGAGUUGUAAUUUGUAGAGGGUGCUUUGGCGUUGGCGUCGGCAUAAGUUCCUUGGAACAGGACGUCGCAGAGGGUGAGAGCCCCGUACGUGUCCGGCUGCAUUCGCCGUGUAAAGCCCCUUCGACGAGUCGAGUUGUUUGGGAAUGCAGCUCUAAAUGGGAGGUAAAUUUCUUCUAAAGCUAAAUAUUGGCCAGAGACCGAUAGCGCACAAGUAGAGUGAUCGAAAGAUGAAAAGCACUUUGGAAAGAGAGUCAAAAAGCACGUGAAAUUGUUGAAAGGGAAGCGCUUGCAGCCAGACUUGCCCGCAGUUGCUCACCCGGGCGCCAGCCCGGUGCACUCUUCUGCGGGCAGGCCAGCAUCAGUUUGGGCGGCCGGACAAAGGCCUCGGGAACGUGGCUCCCCCCGGGGAGUGUUAUAGCCCGAGGCGGCAUGCGGCCAGCCCGGACUGAGGUCCGCGCGUCUGCUAGGAUGCUGGCGUAAUGGCUGUAAGCGGCCCGUCUUGAAACACGGACCAAGGAGUCUAACAUCUAUGCGAGUGUUUGGGUGUCAAGCCCGGGCGCGCAAUGAAAGUGAACGGAGGUGGGAACCCCCCCGGGGUGCACCAUCGACCGAUCCUGAUGUCUUCGGAUGGAUUUGAGUAAGAGCAUAGCUGUUGGGACCCGAAAGAUGGUGAACUAUGCCUGAAUAGGGUGAAGCCAGAGGAAACUCUGGUGGAGGCUCGCAGCGGUUCUGACGUGCAAAUCGAUCGUCAAAUUUGGGCAUAGGGGCGAAAGACUAAUCGAACUAUCUAGUAGCU
RNAcentral lists this ribosomal RNA (843 nucleotides) under Shrungabeeja aquatica. RNAcentral describes it as "Shrungabeeja sp. WD-2020a partial large subunit ribosomal RNA". It matches the Rfam family "Eukaryotic large subunit ribosomal RNA", at positions 88 to 952 of the family's 3401-position model. The record is from RNAcentral. Lineage: Eukaryota; Fungi; Ascomycota; Dothideomycetes; Pleosporales; Tetraplosphaeriaceae.